CACAAGCGUCCUUUGUCCAGAGUGGCCAUAAAACUGGGAAAGAUUGCCAAUCAGCAGUGUGAGGUUUUAGUGAAUACCACUACUGCUGAACUUGACUUGAAAAGUGGUGCAGUUUCAACGUCUAUUCUGGAUGCAGCUGGAAAUGGUAUCAUCAGAGAGUGUACAGUUUUGUUUAGUUUCAUGAUGUCUUGUCUGCAUGAAGCAACUGUAGAUGGCCGGAAAUCCAUUGCAUUCCCAGCUUUGGGAACAGGAAAACUUCAAUACCCUGCCGAUGAUGUAGCAAAGGUUAUGUUUGACUGUGCAGAAAAAUUCUUUAUGCUGAUGCCACACUCAUCCAUUGAAGAAGUGGUCUUUGUGUUGUACCCUAAAGACAAGU
Molecule: long non-coding RNA, 376 nt
Organism: Gigantopelta aegis
Lineage: Eukaryota; Metazoa; Mollusca; Gastropoda; Neomphalida; Peltospiridae
Exons: 3
Source: RefSeq, a predicted model, not a curated record